UGUGUGUGUGACAGAAGGGACCGAGGAAGUUCUCGGACUAAUGAUUAUAUACUUCAGUAUUUUCUUUAAUAUUUGGUGAUUUCACUUGCCUUCAGAUGAAUUACUGUGUAAACAAAAUAAAGGCUGGUUAGCUAUUAGAAAACUUGUUUUGAAGGAUGCUGGGGGACCAUAGUUCCAUAACGAGACUCUCGUCAGCUAUGAUGGUGUCCCGAUGGGCUUUCACCAUGACGGCCUCAAUGCUUUAUAGCAUGGGGAGGGAUUGGAGUGAGGAAAGAUUGGGUUUAUGAGUUGGGACUGAAGGGUUGAGAAAAGCUAGGGUUUUGGAUAGGUUGUUGGGGGAUAAUAGGAGGGUUCAUUGGAC
This 361-nucleotide long non-coding RNA is filed under the name Phoenix dactylifera (date palm). RNAcentral describes it as "long non-coding RNA (PDAC_LNC000228)". The record is from RNAcentral. Lineage: Eukaryota; Viridiplantae; Streptophyta; Magnoliopsida; Arecales; Arecaceae.